This 77-nucleotide transfer RNA is filed under the name Lentisphaerae bacterium ADurb.Bin242. RNAcentral's name for it is "tRNA-Arg". It matches the Rfam family "tRNA". From Rfam's summary of the family: Transfer RNA (tRNA) molecules are approximately 80 nucleotides in length. Their secondary structure includes four short double-helical elements and three loops (D, anti-codon, and T loops). Lineage: Bacteria; Pseudomonadati; Lentisphaerota. RNAcentral also lists the same sequence under 2 other names. The record is from RNAcentral.
GCACCCGUAGCUCAAUUGGAUAGAGCGUCUGGCUACGGACCAGAAGGUUGCAGGUUCAAGUCCUACCGGGUGCACCA